UAAGGAAUAUUGGUCAAUGGGCGGAAGCCUGAACCAGCCAUGCCGCGUGCAGGAUGACUGCCCUAUGGGUUGUAAACUGCUUUUGUCCAGGAAUAAACCUAGAUACGUGUAUCUAGCUGAAUGUACUGGAAGAAUAAGGAUCGGCUAACUCCGUGCCAGCAGCCGCGGUAAUACGGAGGAUCCGAGCGUUAUCCGGAUUUAUUGGGUUUAAAGGGUGCGUAGGCGGCCUAUUAAGUCAGGGGUGAAAUACGGUGGCUCAACCAUCGCAGUGCCUUUGAUACUGAUGGGCUUGAAUCCAUUUGAAGUGGGCGGAAUAAGACAAGUAGCGGUGAAAUGCAUAGAUAUGUCUUAGAACUCCGAUUGCGAAGGCAGCUCACUAAGCUGGUAUUGACGCUGAUGCACGAAAGCGUGGGGAUCGAACAGGAUUAGAUACCCUGGUAGUCCACGCCCUAAACGAUGAUAACUCGAUGUUGGCGAUAGACAGCCAGCGUCCAAGCGAAAGCGUUAAGUUAUCCACCUGGGGAGUACGCCCGCAAGGGUGAAACUCAAAGGAAUUGACGGGGUCAUAGCUGUUU
Molecule: ribosomal RNA, 575 nt
Filed under: uncultured bacterium
Lineage: Bacteria
Description: partial 16S ribosomal RNA
Rfam family: Bacterial small subunit ribosomal RNA
Source: RNAcentral